Molecule: long non-coding RNA, 343 nt
Organism: Colossoma macropomum (tambaqui)
Lineage: Eukaryota; Metazoa; Chordata; Actinopteri; Characiformes; Serrasalmidae
Exons: 3
Source: RefSeq, a predicted model, not a curated record
AACAAAAGUUGACAGUAUACACUAUGCUUAGAAGUCUUUAUAAUCAAAAUCCUUGAUUAAUGUAGUAAUAAUUAAUGCAGUUUCUCUUUAGUCUGUGAUUCCCAAUGGGCGUUAUUAUCUUUUAAAGUCAAAUGACUUGCGUCACUGCUGACAAACCCAACAACCAUGAUCUUUCAAACCAAUGCCAGGCAUUUUGAAGGUGUCAUAUCAUUCGUCACACUCAGCCUGAAAAGUGUUCCAUUAAAUGUUUUUAAAUGGAGCUCAGAAGUCUAGAUCCAGUCUACACCUCUUGGCUAAAGCAGGAAUACAGCAAACUAAUGGAAGAGGCUGCUCUUCUAGAAAG